RNAcentral lists this ribosomal RNA (408 nucleotides) under uncultured bacterium. RNAcentral's name for it is "partial 16S ribosomal RNA". It matches the Rfam family "Bacterial small subunit ribosomal RNA", at positions 28 to 526 of the family's 1533-position model. The record is from RNAcentral.
GACGAACGCUGGCGGCGUGCUUAACACAUGCAAGUCGAACGGAGUGGGGAACGGGUGAGUAACACGUGGGUGAUCUGCCUUGCACUUCGGGAUAAGCUUGGGAAACUGGGUCUAAUUCCGGAUAGUCCAGAAUGAGCUCGCGGCCUAUCAGCUUGUGGGUGGGGUAAUGGCCGACCAAGGCGUCGACGGGUAGCCGGCCUGGGAGGGUGUACGGCCACAUUGGUACUGAGAGACGGCCCAGACUCCUACGGGAGGCAGCAGUGGGGAAUAUUGCACAAUGGGCGGAAGCCUAGUGCAGCGACGCCGGGGGGGGGAUGAAGGCCUUCGGGUUGUAAACUCCUUUCGGCAGGGACGCGGUACCUGUAUAAGAAGCACCGGCUAACUACGUGCCAGCAGCCGCGGUAAUAC